GAGUCCUGGCGUCAGGAUGAACGCUGGCGGCGUGCCUAAUACAUGCAAGUCGUACGAGGGAAGUCCAGCUUGCUGGACGGAACGAGUGGCGAACGGGUGAGUAAUACGUAAGCAACCUGCCUGCAAGGACUGGGAUAACACCUGGAAACGGGCGCUAAUACCGGAUAGGUAACAAAGGGGCAUCCCUAUGUUAUUAAAGGUUAGAGACACAAGCAGAUGGGCUUACGGUGCAUUAGCUAGUUGGUGAGGUAACGGCCCACCAAGGCGAUGAUGCAUAGCCGGCCUGAGAGGGUGAACGGCCACAUUGGGACUGAGACACGGCCCAGACUCCUACGGGAGGCAGCAGUAGGGAAUUUUCGGCAAUGGACGAAAGUCUGACCGAGCAACGCCGCGUGAGUGAAGAAGGUUUUCGGAUUGUAAAGCUCUGUUGUAAGGGAAGAACAGCACGGAAAGAAUCCGUGAAUGACGGUACCUUACCAGAAAGCCACGGCUAACUACGUGCCAGCCGCAGC
This 512-nucleotide ribosomal RNA is filed under the name uncultured bacterium. RNAcentral describes it as "bacterial SSU rRNA". It matches the Rfam family "Bacterial small subunit ribosomal RNA", at positions 1 to 518 of the family's 1533-position model. The record is from RNAcentral.